UACCUUUUACCUUUUGUCCUGUCCUUUGUAUUUUCCCUUUGUCUUUCUUCUUCCUUUCCCCUUAAGAUUUGCUGUUAAACCAAACUUCUAAGUAGUUUAAUUUAAAAAUGAAGUUUUGUAAGUAAAAUGUACUUACCUGGUUUUCUGUAUCAUGUGACUAGGCAAAGGCCCCAGUAUUCGCUCCAUCAUUGCCAGGUGCUCUUUGCUGUCAUGGGUCUGGAGGAAAAAGAAAAAAUAUUUACCUUCAUUGUUAGAGGAAGUUACCAUGAACCACAAACCAACCCUCCUUCAGCUUUAGACUAUACACCUUGCAACCAAUAAUCCAUUUCAGAUUAAGGAAUAAAGAGAGCCUGUAGUUAUGUUACCUGAACUGAGUUAAAAUGUACUUUGUUUUUUCUUUGUUUUCCUCUUUUACCCUGCUUUGCCUUUUUUUUUUUUUUUUUGGUUCAUAAAUUUCACCUGCCAGCACUACUGUCAGAACAAGCGCUUUGCAUGCUUGAGUAAUACUGGAUGACUCUGAGAAGAAACCUUGUUAGUCUCAGUAGAGUGUGAUCCCCUUUCAUCAAGCUAGCUACACUGCUUACUGUACGUAACCUGUAGCCUCUUCCAAGAAAGCUCCUCUUCUCCUCAACUUGGCACCACAGACCAGGAUCUUGCACCCACUCCCCCAUUCCACUCAAUCAAUUUGUAAAGGUAUUUACCAAGUUGUGCUGCAUCUCUUUGAGGUUCAGGUACCUACCGGAAAUACAGUGAAUCCCAGGUAGUAUUCUAUGAGGAUACAUCCAAUGCUCCAAACAUCACAUGGCUGUGCCCAUCCUAGUGCUGUAAAAAAAUUCAGAAGCUUCUUUUUAUAUUGUUCUACAAACAGCUCAACAGCUUGAGCAAGCUGUAUUUCUGGAGCACAAUUCUAGUUAAAAGGUACUGCUUUUCAACAGCAUACUGAAAUCUUACAGAUGAAAUCUUAUCAACAUGACGGACUACACAAAGCUCAUUUCCACUAUGAAAAUAGGUAGUACUCCACCUAGCCAGGCUUACUUGCCUAGCCAGGCACAUUUGUAAACAAGACUUUUUUUU
Long non-coding RNA from Oxyura jamaicensis (ruddy duck), 1074 nucleotides. RefSeq lists it as uncharacterized. The record is from RefSeq and is a predicted model, not a curated record. Lineage: Eukaryota; Metazoa; Chordata; Aves; Anseriformes; Anatidae. The transcript is spliced from 2 exons.